This 6348-nucleotide long non-coding RNA is filed under the name Ooceraea biroi (clonal raider ant). RNAcentral describes it as "uncharacterized LOC109611551". The record is from RNAcentral. Lineage: Eukaryota; Metazoa; Arthropoda; Insecta; Hymenoptera; Formicidae.
GUCGGCCGCCGUCCACCGCGCCGUCGAAACGACCGUAGCGAGAACGCUUCGUGGUUCGUUCGUCGUCAUUGGAACCGGCCGCGUUACCGGAGAGCCGAGAUUUGCCUGAUAUCGCACCGGGCCACGUCCAAAAAAAUUCCGUUAUCCGAACGUGCGUAACCUCCCUAGUGUUGUGUUGUGCGUGUGUGUAACUACGGUGCAACACUCUCUCUGGCAACAUCGUGCGAGCUCACGAUACAAAACAUUCGGUAGUUUGAAGCGUUUCUCGAGCGCGCGCAUACCCGCGCAUGCUAGAAAUUACGCGUGUAUACGCGCAAUUUUCAAAAGUGUGACGACGAGAAAAAUUUCACAUUUAGAAAGGCAAACCGCGCGUCUGCGUCGGGAAAGCAAUUUUUGCCGGUCUUUUAGCACAUCCCAUUUUCUGCUUUCGUUUAAAGCAACUGUUACCGUGGGCGGCGAAUGCAUGUUCACCAUAGCGACGCGGCGACUGCGUUUUUCAAUUUUCGCGACGCAGUUUCAAAACGUUGCAGCUGCAUCUCUGGAAACGCCGCGCCGGUCGUCCUGAGAUGCGUGCCAACGACGAUGGCGACGAUGUUUCAUGACACGCGGGUUAACAAUCGCGCUAUCGGCAGCAGAUUCAACGCGUUAGCCUGUCUACGCGUUUUUGUUAUUGACGUGGUGGCGAAUGUUGCGCAAGAAUGAUUUGUGGCGAUUGCAGCCUGCUGCCGGGGACCUCUCGCCGAAUCGAUAAGCAAACGCGAUUUCGAGUUUAGCGACGCGAUGCUUUCGAGAAUGCAUAUCGCGUAACGAAUAGUCGCGUGGAUUUCUUGAAUAGUGUUUACCAAAUGGGACUUUUCCAAUGGAGUGAUAAUUCAUCGCGACUUUUCGCGCACUCACCGGCCAAGAUCCUCGUCCUGCAACGUUCAUUGAACUAACGCCUUCCGUUAUUGUUCCGCAAGGCGAUGCGGCCUCGAUCGUGGCCUGACGACGUCGAUGUCGGGAAUGGAAGAUUGACGCGAGCGAGCGUGCGAACCAACGAACGAGCACUCCAAGUCGGUGCAAAUCGCCGUAAACGAGGCGGCACAGCACUUUCACCUCACGUUUCCAAUUUGCGUCUCGUGCCUGCGUGCUUACCUUGACAGAUGGACGUGCGGCACGGACGACAAUGAUACGUCGCCACACACGUACACAUCGCGACGGGGGUAACCAUGGCAGGACGCUCGUGCACCCUCCGGUGCAUUCGGGGUUCAUAAAGGAUACUUUAUUGUCACGGAUUUCAGUUACCCGAGAAAAACAGUAUGUGAGUACAUACAAGGAUACUCGUACCUAGGUGGCUGGGCAUCAUUAACUUCGCUUGGCUUGACUACCGUAUCCUAUGAGGACCAACAGGUAGCGUGCUACAUAGACCGAGGCAGUUCGCGACCUCCGAACGAUGCUUCACGAGAAAUUAGACGGCGCACGAGACCGCGAGGAAUGGGUGCUCGCAACGUGGAAGUGACAACUUUCCGCGAGACGGACGAAACUCCGGAGAUAGUUGGGCAAUUAUUCGCUCGCCCUAAGGCGAGGCGAAUUUGUGCCCUCGGCGGUGGGAAGCACGGGCCGUCACCGCGAGAAUUUGACGCACUUCGACCAUAGUUGCAACCGGUAAUGCUGUAACGUUACGACAGCAGAGUUUUCGAAUGUAAUUACGGAGGUGGAAGGGGAGAUUGCAAAUUCGCCUUUGCUCUGUCUCCCUCUCCCUCUCUCUUCUUGCAUAUGACAGUAACAGAGUAGUAAUCACGUGAAAACGAUAUUAUGGAAAAGAAUCGAGAUAUAAUGCUCGGGGGAUAAAUUCUGUUGUAAACAAAUUAAUUUAGCCCUUGUUAUGACGGGAACGCGUCAAUGCAAAAUAAAUAAAUCGUUCAAUCUAUUUUCCUGUAAAAAAGGGAGAGAGAGAGAGAGAGAUACGCGGUUCAUGUCGUUAAUGCUGGAGCUGUCAGCGGAUGGACGGGAAAUCUCGCCGCGAGGCUAUUUUUGAAGGUUCUUCUAAAAUUGACGUUCGCCGAUGGAAAAUUCAUUCGCAGGUGCUACCGUGUGUCAAAACGCGCGACAGCUGAAGGCACGCGCGCAUUCGCGCGUAACCUUGCGGACGGCUGAUACUCGAUAGUUGAAAAUUAAUUCAUGAGAGUGCCGCUAUAUCGAUAUGUUUGACGUUUUCGAAUGCCGUCAGUCUAAUAAAAAUAUGAUAUACUCAAGUGCUUUUAUAAAGAAAAGAAAUUAUGAAAUGUAUACAUGUAAUAUUUAUUACGCUUUCUUUCUAUCUCUUAUUCCUCGCGUUUCUUCGGAAUCGAACGUGAAACGUCACUCCCUUUCCAUCUUUUCGCCAAAUUGUCGGCGUAAUUGUACUUUAAAUUUUACCUCUAUCGAAUUAAUUUAUGAACAGUCAAAUCUAUAAUCUAAAUAGCUGUAAUUAUAAAAUAAUGAUUAUGAUGUUAAUAUUAACGCGCAAGUAAUUAUCAUAUUUUAUUCGGCGGUUAAAGCAGUCAGCCGCGACAUGCCGUUAUUUCGCGGGUUUUCGAUACGAGGCGUCAACACGAAACACCUUACGCGCAAUUUUCACACCACGAGAGAUAGAUAGAGAGAGAGAGAGAGAGAGGAGCAUGGAAGUGCGAGAGAAUAAUGUGUCUCAAAAUUAAUUCGGUUAUCGCGCGCACCGUGCGCAACGGUCUCGCUCGAGUGAUAUCGUUCUCAUUACGGUUAAAGGGUUAAUUAAUUUCCUGCCGAAAUUUAAUUAAUCGAACGACCGAAAUUUAUUUGCCGCUCGCAGCGGCCACCAAACGCCGCCGUUAUUGGAUCGGUCGGUUAGUUCAGCGACCUAAACGCCUUAUUAGAUUUAGAGCGACGCCACGCUCGCAGAGCUGCGGCCUCGUAAUUGCACCCCCGCGGUGACGUUUACGGUAAUUAAAAUAUCGUGUCGUCGCGAAAGACUCGCUCCACCCCCAUAGAAAUAAUAACCAGACAAUGGCGAAUAGUAUUCCGCGCGAACGGAACAAUUCCGCGCGACGACGAUUUUCUUAACGAGCGCGGCGCAGAAGAACGGAACGCCGAAGCGUCGUUCCGUUAAUCGCGCGGUCGAAAAUUCCGCACAAGGCCACGAGUCCUCUUUCCACCCUCUCGUCUGCAACUCUCGCGGCUUCACAGCAGCUGGUCCGCCGAAACUCCGACGGGAAAGUGGGACUCCGACCGGGAGAAGCUGUGGCCACGCUGAUCGGUGGGAAAAGUGGCGAGAUAGAGAGAAAGAUCAGAGGCAGAUGGAGAAGGAGUGAGCAAGGAGAGAGACGGAGGGAUUGCAGGAAAGUAGAGCGGAAUUGAUCCCGUGUAAUAGGACUAAAUCCUCGUGAAACACCGUGAGCACCGUGAUACGUGAUUAGACACGGAUUGGAUGGCACCAUGACGCUUCGAGAGAGAUCAGGAUUGUAAGGUGUAAAUUUAGAACAGAAAAAGCGAGCAGAGGGCGGAAUUAGCCUGAUGAAUUUUAUAAUUCGCUUGCCUUUUCCCGUCGCGCGAGUCGUUGUUGUCGUUACGCAGCCGACUGCGAAAUUGCGAUGCAAAUGCAUUCGAAAGGGGUGCCUUUUCCGACGCGAGUGUUCUUUUAUUUUCCCAUACACGCCGAGUACGCCGGGACAUCUCAUUCUGGAUGAGUUUCCCUCUUUUCUCGUCCUCGACGUCGUUAAUUGGUUUCGUGCGACGCACGCGAAAUCCCGCGCGAGAAGUUUCGAUCGUUUCACGAAAAUCCGCGUAAUUGCUACGUUAGAAUCGAUCGUUCGCGUUACUAUGAACUCGAGGCAGCUCGUGCACUCCUCUUGGUAACCGAAUAUCACCGCUCCCAGCUAUCCCUCAUUAGGCAAGUUAAUAAAUUUUACGUAUCGUACAUCAUUGGCGUCAAGUAUACAUGUACGAGGAGUACGAAUUUAAUUCAAGAAAAUUGAGCUUGAGUUAUAUUACGUAACAGGCGAGGGUGGUGUGAUGUCGUAACUUAUAACGAAGGAUCAUGUGUGUGCGAAAAUGAUAUUUAAUAAAGUUUUGAGAGAGACUUACGUACGCGUAACUAUCCGCUAUUGCUGCGGCGCGCAGAAAACACGAGGUAUUAUAUUGCAUUGUUCUGCAACGGCAAUUUAACAGCAAUGGCGCAAAAUGACACAGGUGCGUAGACGCGCGACAUUUUCACGCGUGCCGCAAACGGCAAAUUAAAUUCCACGGGCGGAGCUGAAGGAUGCGCGCGACUACGGCAUCGGAGUGCAUCGAAUCGUGCUCGCGAUGCGCCGGCGGGACGAUUAAUUGGCAAAACGGCGCAUUAUACAGUGAAAAUUGUAAAUUACGACGGCGGGUAAGUACCGCGUUAUUAGGCAGUUGGAAACGCGGGCGACGAGAGGAGGAUCUUGAAGAAAGGAAAGGAUGGCAACCUCAACGAACGUGGCGAGAGAACCGGCGAGGGUUGUUGGGGGAUGAGCGGGCGGGACGAUGCGAAUGCAACGAAAAGAGAGAAGGACGGAGAAGAGAAACCGGGGAGAGAAAAGCCCGGGGCAAUGGCGCGACUUGUUGAGCACUAUCUGUCGCCGUGUCUCCACCCUUCCAUCCACCCUCGCUGCCACCCGUAAAAACCCGUAUCUUCCACUCUGACGUACUUGCAGCGCGCCGCGUCACCGUAGCAGCAGUCAACGAAGAUGCUGCGAUAAAACGUUGCCGCCACCACCACCCCUGGAAUAGUUCGGCCUGCAAAAAGGGAUAAAGCGUGCGCGUUCACCCGCGCGCGAGACUCGCUCGGGUAAAGCAAAAGCUGCAUUUCGUGUUCCCUUUUCCCGCGGUCGUCGAUGAACUACCGACUACGUUAUCGUUAACGAAUCGAAGCGUGGAGACCGGAGCAUGUUAUCGCGCGGCGCAACCCCCAAGAUUUUGUUAUCUCCACCAACAUGCGCGAGAACCAGGAGAGUCCGGGUGAAGUAUGAUACGGCCAUCUGGUUGUAACAUCAGACAGAUCUGAUCUGGCAGACUGCGCGUUUGAUUAUCGCGCAGUCAUCGAAAGGAAUAUUUUAUUAUUUAACAAUGCGCUGCAGCUAGAUCAACGUCAUCCCAGCUCUGUUUACCCGCAAAACCCCGGCAAUUUUUUAUGGCGAUAUUUCUCAAAGGGAUGACGUGGGAUGGAAAAUGUCAAUAUUGCUACGAAAUUCGACGCAGCAAUAUUUGUAUUGGUUAAAGUUAAAGGGCUGUUAAAUAAACUCGGUUUUUUGUUCGAAAAUAUCAUUAGAUAAAUUUACAAUUCGAAAAUGUCCGACGGAAAAUGUUGGCUGGAUUAUAUCUGUCGAACAGCCGGAUCAAAUUGGAAAAAUGUACACGGUAUCAUGUAACAGUAAAAAAAAAUAUCUGUAUUUACAUAAUGUUUAGUUCUGACGCAGUUUUCGAAAAAUGUGAAAAAUUCAACAAAACACAACCUAUGCACGGUACACGAGAUUUUUGUUUCCGUAAAUGCUAAUAACAGAAAAAUAAUAACAGCAAAACUACGGGAAAAAUUGCCCGUGUACCUAUGUUCAUGCGUUUUACUCGGCUUUUAACGUUUUUCGUCGACACCACGAUUUUUCAUCCCGCGUGAUUCUGUCGACGGGCACUCUCCUCCCCUUCUCUCCCUCACUCCUAUCUAUCUAUCUAUAUAUCUCUCUCUUUCUGCGUCAUUCUCUCGUAUUAUUACGGGAUGACAAAAAAAACAACAUAAUAUUCCCUAUACGCGAUUCGUCACCGCAUCUUAGUCGUUCCAUUCCAUUGUGUGCGGCUUUGUUUCUCGUUCCUUCCCCGGUCGAAUGAGUGUUCCCGACACGAUAGACCAGCCAGUGGAGAUAAUCCGAGUGAAAUGUGCUCCGAGCUAUUUUCAGUUCCAGUAGCGCUUUGAUAGCAGCUGCUCGGAAUAUGGAUAAGGGGCAGAACUGGCCGCUGCGCGCUGGCCUUAACUACUGACCACCCUGUUCCAUCCUGGCUUCUAUCCUACCGCGUAAUGUUACGCGAGGCAGAAACGGUUGUUGCACACUCACGUAUCAUGGCUGUGUUUGCGCAUCGUACGCUAUCACUUUGUGCAGCACGUUUGUAUGUCAUUAGCGCAUCAAGUUUGGCACAAAACUAGCGUUAAUUGCAAAACACUUUUUUUUGUUAUCAUGUUCAACACUGCUGGGAAAUAUCGUAUUUUUUUUAGAGAGAGAGAGAGAGAGAGAGAGAUGGAUAAUGUUUCUAACUGUGCUGCACCGUGUGGAAAGAAACGUGUAAUAUUUUAUUUAAAUAUUUUAUAUAAUAUAACUUGGUAUUAAACUGUUAUUUCGCAUGCGA